This 375-nucleotide ribosomal RNA is filed under the name uncultured bacterium. RNAcentral describes it as "bacterial SSU rRNA". It matches the Rfam family "Bacterial small subunit ribosomal RNA", at positions 521 to 896 of the family's 1533-position model. The record is from RNAcentral.
UAAGACGAACCGUGCGAACGUUAUUCGGAAUCACUGGGCUUAAAGGGCGCGUAGGCGGGUCGGUAAGUCAGGGGUGAAAUCCCACGGCCCAACCGUGGAAGUGCCUCUGAUACUGCCGGCCUCGAGGGGGAUAGGGGCGUGCGGAACUCAGGGUGGAGCGGUGAAAUGCGUAGAUAUCCUGAGGAACACCGGUGGCGAAAGCGGCGCGCUGGAUCCCUUCUGACGCUGAGGCGCGAAAGCCAGGGGAGCAAACGGGAUUAGAUACCCCGGUAGUCCUGGCCCUAAACGUUGGGUACUAGGUAGCGGCCUGUCAUGGGGUCGCUGCCGGAGCAAAAGUGUUAAGUACCCCGCCUGGGGAGUAUGGUCGCAAGGCUG